RNAcentral lists this ribosomal RNA (322 nucleotides) under uncultured eukaryote. RNAcentral's name for it is "partial 18S ribosomal RNA". It matches the Rfam family "Eukaryotic small subunit ribosomal RNA", at positions 1470 to 1796 of the family's 1831-position model. The record is from RNAcentral.
CCCUUAGAUGUUCUGGGCCGCACGCGUGCUACACUGAGUGGAUCAGCGGGUCAGGUUGCGCGAAAGCGUUUCCUAAUCUUUAAAUCCGCUCGUGAUGGGGAUUGACGGUUGCAAUUUUCUGUCAUGAACGAGGAAUACCUUGUAAGCGCGGGUCAUCAUCCCGCGCUGAAUACGUCCCUGCCCUUUGUACACACCGCCCGUCGCUCCUACCGAUUGAGUGGUCCGGUGAGGCUUUGGGAUCUGAGCGGAAAGAGCGUUACGCUGUUUCUGCUCGGAAAACUCAGUCGAACCUUAUCAUUUAGAGGAAGGAGAAGUCGUAACA